This is a long non-coding RNA of Triticum dicoccoides, 1839 nucleotides long. RefSeq lists it as uncharacterized. The record is from RefSeq and is a predicted model, not a curated record. Lineage: Eukaryota; Viridiplantae; Streptophyta; Magnoliopsida; Poales; Poaceae. The transcript is spliced from 3 exons.
UCCAUCCCAACCUCGCGCUAGGGUUAGCGCCGGCGCCAGCCCCAGCCCGCCCCUUGGCUCCUCGGCCGCCGCUCGUCUUCCUUAGCAGCACCUGGUCGCCGUGGUUGCCUCCUCCCACCGCUGGUCCGCCUCCGCCAUCUUGACCUCUCAGCACCACGCCAGCGUGCUGCCGUCCGCCCUCGAUGGGAUCGAUGUCGACGAGAUUCCGUCAUCGAUAUAUAUCUUGACAAGGUAUGAGGUACGAGGUCAGCCCAUCGUGAUCUUUGCGUUUUUCGCUCGAUGUCAUUGGUUUCUCCUCAUCGGCUAAAACAAGCAGCUUCGCCGCCGACAUCUAGAUGAGAGAAACGAUCCCAUCAGGCCGAACAGCGAGAGGAACAAUUCCAUCAGGUCGAAUGUCGAGCAGCAGCCAUGCAUGCGUGACGCAUACGGUAUCAUGCCUGCCGAGUGGUACUGUCGCUUUAACUCGGAUGCAGUAGUACGCACGUACUCCUCUUUCUGAUCAGGUAAGUGAGCACUCGGAUCCCUGCUCAUUGAUAGCAUAAGUGGCUGCUUCAAUCAAUGGUAUAAAGGACCUUGGAUGAUCACAUCCUAUGCAUGUAUUAGUAAUUUGUAUAGGGGACUUGAUUGAUUCUACGAACUUCAUAUGCUUCUCUGCAAUCGACAAUUUUUUUUCUGUGUAAUCAUGCCGCUGAUGGUUUAUUUUAUAUAGAUUAAUUUUAAAGUAGGAAACAAUACUAUGAUUAUUAAGAUUUAACAUAAAGGAAGGUUUGAUGAUGUCGACUGCCGCUACAUGAAGCCCCGGCGCUGGGGCCGCCCCACUGAACGCCACUGUUGUAGGACAAAAUCCCAACGCCCCUCGAUCAUUCAUGGCAUGUAGACACUAUCGGCUCGCGACUAGAUAUGACCGCAGCACCUGGACAACAAUCACUUGUGACUGGACACGACUGCCACACCUGGACGAGAUGAUGCCUCACGUCUGAGCAGCUUGACUAAACAAACAAAUCAGGGAGCACCGAGGCCAACCAUUUGGUCCUUCAGUACAACAUGCAUCAGCAAAAUUUUACGAAGGUGGGAGUACAAUAUAAUAUGGUAUGAAUAAUUGGCGAAUGAUGCAACAUCAGUUCUUCUUGUGCUGAUUCAGGAAUGCGGUCAAGGCAGGUGCUCUAAUAAGGUCAAGACAGGUGUUCUUCUUGCAGCUAAGUAUUCUUGGCGUAGUUUAUUCCCAGUUUUACAGUCAAAGAUCAUUCUCAUUUGUUCCUUCACAUAUAAACUAAAAUGCUACAAAAUUGCCCCGUUGUUAAAUUUUUGGACAUGUUUUAUUUCUUCGUAACAUAUUCAAUAAAUAUUGAACUAAUCUCAUAUUUAGAUCAUAUGUAAUUGAUUAAGCUGCAGAUUCAUUCCAAUUAGAAGGUACACAUGAAUGCAUUCUUUGUCUUUUCACUUUAAGAACAGUGAUAUAACUUUGUCUUUGAUGAUUUAUUGCCAUCCUUUCCUUUGUCGCGGAAUUACCAGAUACACAAAAGGGAGGAGUCAAAGCUUGUGAAGAAAUGUAGCACUUACAUUUUGUUGGCGGAUGAUGAUGAUGAGAUUGACAACCACACGACGAGCUCGCCGAGUGCAUCCUCUAAGGGUACAAAGCUUUUUCGGAGGAAGAAUGAAGGCCAAGAGGAUGGGAAUGAUGAUGGAAACAAUAGAAAUUAUUUCCAAAAAGAGUCUGAAGGAGAACACAAUAAAUGGAUGAUGAAGGCGGUGUCGACACUCUUGAUGUAUUCCAUUCUUUCCAGGAUCUGAUCUUUUUUGUACAUGAAAACACAUAGAUAUGGAAUGGCCAAUUAAAAU